Molecule: long non-coding RNA, 1011 nt
Filed under: Capra hircus (goat)
Lineage: Eukaryota; Metazoa; Chordata; Mammalia; Artiodactyla; Bovidae
Description: lncRNA (ENSCHIG00010032236.1)
Source: RNAcentral
AUGCCCACCCACACACACAGCCCACUUCUGUGGUCCAUGUGGCAGUGGUGGCGCUGAGAUUCAUCUCUAGACCCUUCCGGGUGUGUUUGCUGUUCCUGGGACAGCACCGACCUGUUUGCUUAAGGUGGUUUCAGUGACUCUUGGUGGGCAUCUGGUGGCUCAGUCGGGGUCACUUUGUGCCCCCUGUCUGUGCUGAGGGCACUCGUUCAGGACUUGUUAGGAGUGGGGUUAAUGGAUCCCAAAGGUGAGACCACUCAGGGUGUGAGCAGGGGCCUGAACAGGACAUUGUAGUCCCACUAGAGGUAGUGAGUCAAUCAGACAGGCCAGAGGCGUCCUGAGCAAGGGGGUCCUGGGUGACCCCCUGCUCCACUCUUGGGUCCAUGGUAUGGUGGUUCAGAGGCCAGGCAGUUUUGGACAGACAGUGGCUGGGGCUCCUGGCUCAGGUGGUCAGGAGAGCACUUGGUCUUUGGUGCUCCCUGACUGCAUAGGUACACCCUAAACCCCUGCCUUCCCCCCAUCCUGCCCCACUGGCCCUGUUGCUGAUGAGGGUCACUGGGGAGGGAGGCCUGGGGACUCCCCUGCCACGGGCUUCUCAUGCUCCUGGGCAGACCCCCGCACAGAAGCCAGGGGCUCAGCGAAGUCCUGUGUGAAUUACUCCUUGAUCAAGUGGAGCAGAGUGAAAGCAGAGCUGCCGUUCCAUUGUUCUCUCUCCAGGCGCAGAAGAAUGUGCUCAGACAGAGUGUCUGGGGAAGCUGACUUCUGUGUCUGUUCCGCCCACCCACUUCCCAGUUUCGAAUGAAGGAUCACUGGGAGGAUAGAAUUGAGGAGAGAAUCUGGAAGUAAAUGUGACCUCCUUAACUCUAAAGAUCUUACUCUUGAAAUUACAGACUCUGGAUUUCAGUGCUAGAAGACCCUAAGGGGCACCAGGCAGCUGACACCUGCUCAGGGACACGCAACGGGCUAGUAGCAGGAGCUGAACCUGAACCCAGGUCUUUGGGCUUCCAGCUUCUG